Molecule: long non-coding RNA, 1018 nt
Filed under: Sinocyclocheilus anshuiensis
Lineage: Eukaryota; Metazoa; Chordata; Actinopteri; Cypriniformes; Cyprinidae
Description: lncRNA (ENSSANG00000034575.1)
Source: RNAcentral
CAGAAAACACUUAAGCCUGAGCAGGGUCUUGGUGAAGAUCAUAGCAGUCCAGUCUCUAGCACUGAUAAAGUGGAAAAAUCUAAAAAACAUGUUGUUGCUAGCCAAUGCAUUGAUAAGGGCUGGAGUCAUGGUCCAGGUGAAGGUCAGGUUUCAAGUGUAGAUAGACGGAACCGUGGACUUUCCCAAAGAAUAGAGGCUCUUUUUAUAGCCCCACCCGGGCAUGGCUCAGAGGAGAGACUUGCCCGCAUGAGGGAGGUGGACACUGUCUCACGAAUGAGACGCCUUAGCCUCCGUAGCUCAGACUCUUGGGAUGGACUGCAUGGGGUGGGAAGGUGGGGAGAUUAUGGAUGGGAGAAAGAAUGCCCCCUUCCUGGCCCACAGGAUUCUUCAAACAUCACAAAGGUAGAGGAUAAAGAGGGCAGCGCCCAUCCUGCAGUCACCAGUGAACCUAAAGAAACAAAAGACGACCAGGCAACCCUAAAAGAGUCACAGGAGCCCAGCCAGGUGGAGAGGUCGUAGCUGAACCCUAGAGGUCAGAGGUCAUCUAACUAAGGGCCAGCCUCCAGCACUGUGACCUGGCUGUCUGUUAAAUGCCUUCAUCCUCAUAUGCUAUUGAAACAUCCUCAGACAUUGACACACAUAUAUACACAACAUUAGACACAAACACACUGAGCGAUGCAUCUCUCUUUAAUACACACGUCUGUGCAUUAACACACACAAACUGACACACAAACACACAAAGUCAUUGUCAUGUAUGCAGAUGCUCACAUGCAUUCAGAACACAUUUAAACACCUAACCACACUGAGACAUCUGAAAUGGCCUUCUACUCCGACAAGAGCAUUGUGUAUCAACUCUACUCCACACCCACUCAGUUCCAGCUCUGCUGGCUUUCUAAGUGUUGCUGUUCCACUGCCAGAAGGAGGUUCCCAAUAAUGCCCCACCCGCUUCAUAUAUUACAGUUCUCAUCAUGCCCCAUUUUUCUUAAUGUCGUGCCCUUGUCAUACAUCUUUCCCCUGC